RNAcentral lists this ribosomal RNA (478 nucleotides) under uncultured bacterium. Its description in RNAcentral is "partial 16S ribosomal RNA". It matches the Rfam family "Bacterial small subunit ribosomal RNA", at positions 28 to 523 of the family's 1533-position model. The record is from RNAcentral.
GACGAACGCUGGCGGCGUGCUUAACACAUGCAAGUCGAACGGUAAGGCCCUUCGGGGUACACGAGUGGCGAACGGGUGAGUAACACGUGGGUGAUCUGCCCUGCACUUCGGGAUAAGCCUGGGAAGCUGGGUCUAAUACCGGAUAGGGCCACUGCCUGCAUGGGUGGUGGUGGAAAGCUUUUGCGGUGUGGGAUGGGCCCGCGGCCUAUCAGCUUGUUGGUGGGGUGAUGGCCUACCAAGGCGACGACGGGUAGCCGGCCUGAGAGGGUGACCGGCCACACUGGGACUGGGAUACGGCCCAGACUCCUACGGGAGGCAGCAGUGGGGAAUAUUGCACAAUGGGCGCAAGCCUGAUGCAGCGACGCCGCGUGAGGGAUGACGGCCUUCGGGUUGUAAACCUCUUUCAGCACCGACGAAGCGCAAGUGACGGUAGGUGCAGAAGAAGGACCGGCCAACUACGUGCCAGCCGCCGCCGUAA